UACUUAGAAAGGUGCAGAUUGCUUAAACUAAGUGUAAUUUGUGCCUUUCUGAGU
RNAcentral lists this microRNA precursor (54 nucleotides) under Pteropus alecto (black flying fox). Lineage: Eukaryota; Metazoa; Chordata; Mammalia; Chiroptera; Pteropodidae. The record is from RNAcentral.